GGUGGAUUAGUGGCGAACGGGUGAGUAACACGUGAGCAACCUGCCCCUGACUCUGGGAUAAGCGCUGGAAACGGCGUCUAAUACUGGAUACGAGUAGCGAUCGCAUGGUCAGUUACUGGAAAGAUUUUUUGGUUGGGGAUGGGCUCGCGGCCUAUCAGCUUGUUGGUGAGGUAAUGGCUCACCAAGGCGUCGACGGGUAGCCGGCCUGAGAGGGUGACCGGCCACACUGGGACUGAGACACGGCCCAGACUCCUACGGGAGGCAGCAGUGGGGAAUAUUGCACAAUGGGCGGAAGCCUGAUGCAGCAACGCCGCGUGAGGGAUGACGGCCUUCGGGUUGUAAACCUCUUUUAGCAGGGAAGAAGCGAAAGUGACGGUACCUGCAGAAAAAGCGCCGGCUAACUACGUGCCAGC
This 413-nucleotide ribosomal RNA is filed under the name Microbacterium sp. RNAcentral describes it as "bacterial SSU rRNA". It matches the Rfam family "Bacterial small subunit ribosomal RNA", at positions 86 to 512 of the family's 1533-position model. The record is from RNAcentral. Lineage: Bacteria; Bacillati; Actinomycetota; Actinomycetes; Micrococcales; Microbacteriaceae.